GAGAUAUUAGAAAAACCAUUUCANAGCUUUGUCAAAGCUAAGCUAUAGGUUAAACCCUAUAUAUCUUG
RNAcentral lists this transfer RNA (68 nucleotides) under Theropithecus gelada (gelada). RNAcentral describes it as "tRNA-Asp". The record is from RNAcentral. Lineage: Eukaryota; Metazoa; Chordata; Mammalia; Primates; Cercopithecidae.